Molecule: ribosomal RNA, 733 nt
Filed under: uncultured Basidiomycota
Lineage: Eukaryota; Fungi; Basidiomycota
Description: LSU rRNA
Rfam family: Eukaryotic large subunit ribosomal RNA
Source: RNAcentral
GUGAAAUUGUUGAAAGGGAAACGCUUGAAGUCAGUCACGUUGGCUAGAAAUCAGCCCUGCUCUUGCUCGGUGUACUUUCUGGUUGAUGGGUCAGCAUCAAUUUCGACCAUUGGAUAAAGUCUCUGGGAAUGUGGCAUCUUCGGAUGUGUUAUAGCCCAGGGUCGCAUGCAGUGGUUGGGAUUGAGGAACUCAGCACGCCGCAAGGCCGGGUUUCGACCACGUUCGUGCUUAGGAUGCUGGCAUAAUGGCUUUAAUCGACCCGUCUUGAAACACGGACCAAGGAGUCUAACAUGCCUGCGAGUGUUUGGGUGGAAAAACCCAUGCGCGGAAUGAAAGUGAAAGUUGAGAUCCCCCUCGAAAGGGAGCAUUGACGCCCGGACCAGAGCUUUUGUGACGGAUCCGCGGUAGAGCAUGUAUGUUGGGACCCGAAAGAUGGUGAACUAUGCCUGAAUAGGGUGAAGCCAGAGGAAACUCUGGUGGAGGCUCGUAGCGAUUCUGACGUGCAAAUCGAUCGUCAAAUUUGGGUAUAGGGGCGAAAGACUAAUCGAACCAUCUAGUGGCUGGUUCCUGCCGAAGUUUCCCUCAGGAUAGCAGAAACUCAUUAUCAGAUUUAUGUGGUAAAGCGAAUGAUUAGAGGCCUUGGGGUUGAAACAACCUUAACCUAUUCUCAAACUUUAAAUAUGUAAGAACGAGCCGUCUCUUGACUGGACCGCUCGACGAUUGAGAGUUUCUA